ACUCAUACCUUGCAGGAGAAAUACCAUGUCAUAAAAGUGGUUUUACCAGGGGAGGCUCAUACAUUGCACUUUGCGUAUGUUGCUGAUCCCUGUGAUUUCCCCAAACGUGGGGAACUCAACUGCAUAAUUUGUAUUAAUGGGGGAUUGCACUUAUGAUUUCCCUAG
RNAcentral lists this small nuclear RNA (165 nucleotides) under Pogona vitticeps (central bearded dragon). RNAcentral describes it as "U1 spliceosomal RNA (ENSPVIG00000022635.1)". It matches the Rfam family "U1 spliceosomal RNA". From Rfam's summary of the family: U1 is a small nuclear RNA (snRNA) component of the spliceosome (involved in pre-mRNA splicing). Its 5' end forms complementary base pairs with the 5' splice junction, thus defining the 5' donor site of an intron. Lineage: Eukaryota; Metazoa; Chordata; Lepidosauria; Squamata; Agamidae. The record is from Rfam by way of RNAcentral.